Molecule: ribosomal RNA, 407 nt
Filed under: uncultured bacterium
Lineage: Bacteria
Description: bacterial SSU rRNA
Rfam family: Bacterial small subunit ribosomal RNA
Source: RNAcentral
UGGGGAAUAUUGCGCAAUGGGGGCAACCCUGACGCAGCAACGCCGCGUGCAGGAAGAAGGUCUUCGGAUUGUAAACUGUUGUCGCAAGGGAAGAAGACAGUGACGGUACCUUGUGAGAAAGUCACGGCUAACUACGUGCCAGCAGCCGCGGUAAUACGUAGGUGACAAGCGUUGUCCGGAUUUACUGGGUGUAAAGGGCGCGUAGACGGACUAUUAAGUCAGUCGUGAAAUACCGGGGCUCAACCCCGGGGCUGCGAUUGAAACUAAUAGCCUUGAGUAUCGGAGAGGAAAGCGGAAUUCCUAGUGUAGCGGUGAAAUGCGUAGAUAUUAGGAGGAACACCAGUGGCGAAGGCGGCUUUCUGGACGACAACUGACGUUGAGGCGCGAAAGUGUGGGGAGCAAACAGG